CAGAAGCAGGAUCACAGAGCAGCCCAUCCACUCCUGGCUGAAGACUUAAUUACUAACACACACAUGUAUACAAACUAUAGGGCUGGGGAGAAUGAGCAGAAUCGCAAAGAUAAUCACAUACCAGAAGAAUGAUAAAAAAAACUCUCACAUUUACCUUUCAAGGCAUUUAAAUGAAAUGAGUAGCUCUGGGGAAAAAAAAAAAAAAAAAAGAUACUGCGGGAAGUUCAGUUAGAAGAAAAUCAGGGAUGGCCAGGAAUCUAGGAAAAAUCGAAGAAGGUUAAAACGGAGAGAGAGAGCCAGGUUGGCAGAUGUGAAGGGGACGAUAUGAAGAGUGCAAGAGAAAGGACAGAGAGGAGGCAGCAGCGACCCGGGAGAGGAGAAAGGAGGGGAGGGAAGGAUGGAUGAAAGCGAGCAAGGAAAGAAGCAAGGAGGCAGGCAGCGUUAGGCAGAUCCAUUCAGAACUAAAUGCACGUCCUUUGAAAUAUCUCUACCAUAUUCAUGAUUUGUCACUACACAUUGUUUUCUUUGACUUGAUGUCUUCAGCUGCAGAAAUACACCCCCCACCCCCAUACAUUUCUACAGACUAUGGACUAACAGCAAUCCUCUACUAUGUUAAAUGUUUAUUUCUUUAUCUUUAUUAUUUCUGAUUUGACUGUCUUGGAUAUAUCUUUCAUUUAGUUUACAAUUUUAUUACAUAAUCUGAGCAUCUGAACCUUUAUUAAAAUGAUAUAAUCAUUGCAAAAAUAGACAUUUUAUUCAUUGUCACCCAAUGUCAUAACCUAGUUGUACCACUAACCACUGUAUAUGAAUUAUUUUUCUGAAAUGAUAUACUAGAUUAUUUUUAAUAAUAUUAUUUUACAAUAUAAAGGUUGUUACUGCUUAUAAUUUUUCAAAAUUUCUAUCUAUAAAUCUAUCCCUUUUUUGGCCAUUAUUCUGUGUUAAUUUUUUCUUUUUUUUUUUGUUUAAUUUCAUAUCUCAUUCAUUUUUUUCAUUCUAAUCCCAGGUUAUCUAUUUUGAUUUACUGAGAUCUAUCAUAAAUUACCAUUCCACUUCCCAAUGCUGUCUGAGACUGAUGCACUUGUAAAAACCACUGAACUUACCGUGAGAAUAUGAGGCAGAGGGAAUAGAUGGUAAUAAGUGAUGCAGAAAUCACUGCAGAAGUUCCACAAAUCUGCAUCUUGGUGGAGCGGGUUUAUCGGAAUGACCUAGCUCAUAUCGAACUGUUUAGGCUGUGAGGUUUAUUGGAAAUGUACAUGUGUGCUUCUGAAUACCUGUCUUUUGGUUUAUAAAACAAUUGUAAAUAAAGAAACAUAACUCAAA
Pseudophryne corroboree (corroboree frog) is the source of this 1320-nucleotide long non-coding RNA. RefSeq lists it as uncharacterized. The transcript is spliced from 3 exons. Lineage: Eukaryota; Metazoa; Chordata; Amphibia; Anura; Myobatrachidae. The record is from RefSeq and is a predicted model, not a curated record.